This 254-nucleotide ribosomal RNA is filed under the name uncultured bacterium. RNAcentral's name for it is "partial 16S ribosomal RNA". It matches the Rfam family "Bacterial small subunit ribosomal RNA", at positions 524 to 776 of the family's 1533-position model. The record is from RNAcentral.
UACGUAGGGUGCGAGCGUUGUCCGGAAUUAUUGGGCGUAAAGAGCUCGUAGGCGGUGUGUCACGUCGGCCGUGAAAACCUGCAGCUUAACUGUGGGCGUGCGGUCGAUACGGGCAUCACUGGAGUUCGGCAGGGGAGACUGGAAUUCCAGGUGUAGCGGUGAAAUGCGUAGAUAUCUGGAGGAACACCGGUGGCGAAGGCGGCGUUCUGGACUGCAACUGACACUGAGGAACGAAAGCCAGGGGAGCAAACGGG